RNAcentral lists this ribosomal RNA (491 nucleotides) under uncultured bacterium. RNAcentral describes it as "partial 16S ribosomal RNA". It matches the Rfam family "Bacterial small subunit ribosomal RNA", at positions 29 to 506 of the family's 1533-position model. The record is from RNAcentral.
AGUGAACGCUGGCGGUAGGCCUAACGCAUGCAAGUCGAACGGCAGCACAGUAAGAGCUUGCUCUUACGGGUGGCGAGUGGCGGACGGGUGAGGAAUACAUCGGAAUCUACUUUUUCGUGGGGGAUAACGUAGGGAAACUUACGCUAAUACCGCAUACGACCUACGGGUGAAAGCAGGGGAUCUUCGGACCUUGCGCGAUUGAAUGAGCCGAUGUCGGAUUAGCUAGUUGGCGGGGUAAAGGCCCACCAAGGCGACGAUCCGUAGCUGGUCUGAGAGGAUGAUCAGCCACACUGGAACUGAGACACGGUCCAGACUCCGACAGGAGGCAGCAGUGGGGAAUAUUGGACAAUGGGCGCAAGCCUGAUCCAGCCAUACCGCGUGGGUGAAGAAGGCCUUCGGGUUGUAAAGCCCUUUUGUUGGGAAAGAAAAGCAGCAGGUUAAUACCCCGCUGUUCUGACGGUACCCAAAGAAUAAGCACCGGCGAACUUCGU